GUGUUUGAUGGUCGAGCAAUCUAUUUCUCUCUGUCCAGGCUUUAGGUUUAAUUAAUUGUGUGUUGUUUUAUGUUUAUGCUAGUUAAUGUUGAUCUGCAUCGUAAUUAGCAAUCCCUUGCUGGAAAUAACAUGCCUUUUGGAGGUUGUUUUUGGUAUUUGUUGUUCAAAAUCGUAUUUUUUUCCCUUCCCUGAAUCUAGGAAGCUAGGAGAACCAAGCUAGCUCUGUUUUCUGUCUUAGGUCUGUUAAUUUCGAGGCUCAGUUUUAUUUUCUUCUUCAUCUUCUCUUCUUGUUGAUGUGGUUUUUAAUCUCCUUGUGUAAGAGCCCAUAUAUUUUUGGGCCUGGGCCGGUCUCUGGGCCACGGCACCGGCCCGACACGUGUGGCGGGGGAGGGAGACUCCCGAUCGGAGUCUUUUUUUCCUCCCCUGUUCCGACUCUCUCGCUCCGAGUCCACCGGAAGGAGGAGUCUAGGGUGAUCAAACCCUACCAAGUUUGAGCCGAUCUCCAUCUAUAAAGGAUCCUCUUCCCCUCCUCUUUGGCAUCGACCUUGAGAGCUCAGCUAUUGGAGGCUUGAUCGCUGGGCGUUCCGUGGGGGGAACUGGGUGGGUUCGCAGUCGAGCCGGCUGGAGGAGCUCGCCGGAGGCAAGGUGAGCUACCUCUCCUCCUUUUCCGGUUGUCGGGCCUUUGUUUCCCUUGUAUCCGGCCGGCAAGCGGCCGGAUUGACUGAGGACAAGCCUCCCCUGUUGCUUUUGUUUUCUUUCUCCCGUUGGCCGGCCAUCGCCCAGCAUGGCGCGCAGCCGGCACCUCCUUGGGCCGUCGAUCCCUGGGGUCGCCCCCCACGGGCGGCGGCUGCCGCCGAGCAUUCCCUCCGGGAAGAAGGAAGAAACACACAGAGAGAGAGAGAGCCUCCCGGUCCUUUCUUCCUCUUUCCUUGAUUUCUCUCUCCUCUCUCAAGUUUCUCUCUCUUCCGUUGGUGCUUUCACUCUCAUGUUUUGUAUAGGGCUAAAGCGUUCGGGCAGGAAGUAGCCCAACAAGAUCUUAUACACUAUUUUUUUUUUCUCUUCCUAUUUUUUUCUCUUAGUAUUUUUUCUCUCUAGCUUGGUCCGGGGAGAUCAUUAUUUGUGAGGACUGCUGGAUAGUCCUGGGUUGCUAGAUGAUGGUAGACCCUUUAGAGGAUCAAUAGAGGAUUCUAGAUUAUCAGAUAUCCGGAAUAAUUUUUAAUGUUGACUUGAUUUUGUAGGGAAACAAUUCGUUGGACAAGAGGACAUUGAGCAGGGUUCUGCGCACUCCGGUUCGUAGAUCGUGGAGUGGGCAGGCGAUUAGUUUAUCUGGGCCAACUUUAUUGUUUGGUAAGAAUUGAGAUUAUUAUUAUUCAAUAAUAUUGAGGUUAUGAUAUAUUUUUAGGUCUUGCAUAUUCUUUAGGGCUAUGCUAUAGGGAGUGUGCUACCGUGUCGCGUGCCGGACCCGGGUGCUGGGUUCGGAGCAUGACACCUUAUUUCUAGCUUGAUACAAUAGGUGGCACAUUACUGGAUAUGUUAUUGAUGUUGCAAUUGAGUUAUGUAAGUGAUGGUGAUUAUAUGCGCUCACCUGUAUCUGUGUAUUGGUAUGGUUGCUCUGCAAAUGGCUUAAUAGAGAUGGUAUAUUUGAUAUGAUUUUCUGUGAGCUAAUUCUGACAAUUGGCCUUUAUAUUUGCUGCUAUCUAUGAUUCAUCUUCAUUGGUAACUUUUUACUGUCUACCUUGGGCGUUUCAUUUUCUCUGUUCCUAUCAAUCUUGCGACACGGUAGCAGCCUUGAUUUGGAGGACAUAUUCUACCAUUCAUAAGCUUUGAGAUUAAACUUUGUUAUGGACCCAGAAACAUUCGUUUCUGCACGAACAAGAUCAUGGAAAUUGCUGUUUUGAAAGAAGCUUCUCUAAAUGAAUUCACUCUCUUUGCUAUAAGGAUAUCUUUCACGAUUUCAUUAGAUAAGCACAUUUGUUCAUGUUGCAGGCAUCUUUUAAGAUGGAGUAUAUUUUGUCACCUAUGGUUUCAUCCAUUGAGGGAAUUGAGGGAUCUUCAAAUCUAUAAUAGUUGUCAGCAAAUGGUGUGUACUUGAGUUAGUAGUUAAAAUGGUAAACUUUUUCUUGAGUGUUCUCUCUUGGCUGUAUGCUUAGAUUAGUGACAACAUAACUCACUUUAGCUAGCAAGUAAUUCUACUAGUCAGUUUACGUUCUAAGAGAAUGCUAUAAAGUGCACACUGGCAGCUUGCCAAUUACCUGUCUGAUGUGGCACGAGGGUAUUUGUGUGUUUCACAGGGUGUCGGUGAUCAUCUUUGGGGUAAAUUUCCUAUUUUGCCUCUGCCACACCAGCAUCACAUCAGAUUGAGCAAUCUGGUGGGUGCUCCAUGGCUUUUUCUAAAGGUGAAAAGAUGUGAAAAUGGCCUGCAUUCUUGUUACUCAGACUGUGCAAUGGAAACGAAGAGUCAGUAUUGCAGGGCUGAUGCUAUAUUCCUGCUUAGCAUAAAUUAUUUGAGCAGAGGAGAGAACACUGAUUUCUUCAUUUUUAGCUACUGCAUUUCUCAUUUAUGAAAGGUAAUAAAAUUGCAGCUAUAGCAACCAUUUCAUCAAAAUCUCUCUCUCUCUCUCUCUCUCUCUCUCUCUCUAUCUAUCUAUCUAUCUAUCUAUCUAUCUAUCUCUGCUGCAGAAAUAGGCCUCACUUCUCAGUGCCUUUUGUCUGUUGACCAGCGGUCUUGUUAUGUUUGCAUUUAAGUUUCCAUGGAUCUUCUUGUUGAUUCUAGGAUUUACCUUUGUGUUGCCUUCUUGACAUCUGUGGCCUGCACCUCACAAUUUACUUUUCUCUCUCAGUAUCCUUGUUUACACCUGAUAUCGAGUGCCAGGCUUUUCUUUUCCCAUCUGUACUUGUACUUAAGCGCUUGCAUUCCUGAUAUACAUAAUUGUUCACUUCAAGUUUUUUGUCGCAGACAUUUCCAUCCCGAAAUGGAUGGGUACAUGGGUAGGAAAACUGCUGUGGGGCUUGUUUUUUCUAGAGGAGGUUCUAUCCUUGUUUUUAGAGAACAGAACUUUGAGGACAGAAGCAUCAAGCAUUGUAAUCGAUUAGCAUGCAGCACUAGGCUGCACUCCAUGAACGGCAUCAAAACUGGCAAUACAGAAAAGGUCAAAUAUUCGAGGGGGUUUUUUCACUCUAUGAACAGCAGGACGAUUACUGGAAGCUCUUCUAUAUCAUGUCAUGCCUGUGACCCUAGAAAGACUCAUCAAGAGCCACGGAGACAAACAUCUUUGCAAGGGAGAGCUAUUGCAGAGAGCAGUAAUAGGCAGAGGGAGAUUGAAGAUUUGGAUUGUGAAGGCAGAAGAUGGGAGGUAGACAACUUGGGAUAUCAUAGCAGACAGGAGGGGCCAGAAGAUUCUGAAUCCAUUCACAUAACUAGAUGCAAUCAGACUGUAUUUUCUGAUCGUGAUGACUUUGGACCUGUAAAUCCUCAAGGGCUUUCCAGAAAUGCAGCUGAAGCAUCGGGAAGCUGCAGCACUAGAUUGAAUUCAAGAGCGUGUAAGCAAGUCAGCCGGCAAUGCAGAUAUGGUGAUCAGGAAGCCUCGUCAAGUUCCUCCACCAGGCAUUCUUUUACAUCCAGAAAUGCCAGCCGGGCUGCUAGGCAUGCUUCAAGAGGUGGGGGAGCUGAGUCAAAGAAGUAUGAUCUCAAACAUCUUCGGUGCACAUCAUCAGAUAUUCUUCCAUCAGGUUGUUCUUCCUCCAAUUCUGGUGUUAACAGAAGGGUUAACACACUAAGAAAGAGAUCCUUGAAUGGAGGGAGUUUGUCAGCAAGAGGCCAAAGCAAGAAUGCAUUAAGUGGAGCAAAUUCGGGUUCUCCAAACAGAGGUUCUUCCAUCCAUGGCCUCUCUCUUCCAGAGCACUCGAUGCCUCAACAGGCUUUAAGAAGGACGGGUGCAGUCUUGGUAAGAACACGCCGGUCUCCUAGUGGGGUGACUAGAACAAGGUUAUCAGAAGAAAGAGAUCACCCUCUUUCAGCACCUGAGCCUGAAUAUAGCAGCACACAAAUGUUCAAUGUCCCUAUGGGAGAUGGAAAUGGCUGCCAGCACUUUAGCAUGGAAGGAAUUGCAGAGGUACUCAUAUCUUCUACUCUCAAAAUUGGAAACUCUCACAAAACUUAGCCAAUAUGUUGGUCGAAUUUUGAUGCCUAAAAUCCAGUAAGAAAAGAGAAAUUUACAGAGAUCAGAAAUCAGUGAUGUAACGACUAUCGUGUUCUUUCAUUUAAGCUGUUAACGGUUCUUGUAACUAAAAUUUUAUUUUCUUAUUUUAACAUAUCCUAAUGCUAAUUGUGUAACGAGCUUGCUCUUUGAACUAGGCAUUUGAAAAUGAAAGAGCUGCUUUCUGAUGUGCAGGUUCCGUUGCCACUGGAGAGGAUUGAACAGGAUGAGGAAUUAACUUAUGAGGUUUUUAAUCUCUUUUUUCUCCCGUCCGUUUUAUUUACCUAUUUAUUGACGAUGACUAUUUCAUAAAGCCAGUAAGGGAUUGGCCAAAAAUGAAUUUUUAAACUCAAUCCCUGACUGUGGGGAUGAAGCAUGGGUUUAAAGUCACAGUAUCAAUAACAAGAUUGCUAUAUUUCUUGCAGCAACUAUCGGGGCUAGUUUUGGAUGGCCUGAACUUCCACGAUCAACAUAGCGACAUGAGGAUGGACAUUGAUAAUAUGACAUAUGAGGUUCAUUCUAUUAUUUAAUUGCUUAUAUUGUCAUAGACUGAGUGAUUGCAGUUUUGUCUUCAUAAAGUGUUUUUAUCUUAGCCCUGCAUCUUGUUUAUGUUAUUGCCUGCAGUUGAAAACAAUAAAGGUAACAUACUUCUGGUUAAAGAAGAAUAGGAACUGCUUCUGGCUCUACCAGAAAUAUCAACUAAUAAAUGACCAGUGUUUUAAUUGCAGAUGUAAUUUUGAUUCAAACUGUAGGAAAUGGUCUUCAACCUUUUAAAGAUUGCUAACUAUGAAGCUAUCCCUCUGUUGCGAUCCUUAAUUUUUUUUUUUCCAUCUUCAGUUGUCCAUAGAUCACUGUGACUUUCUCCAUAGUUUAUAAAGUUGAAAUUCAAUAACAUAUUUCUAACCAAUACUAAGAUGGCCAUCGUCUCAAAUAUGUCACUGUUUUUUUUUCAUAAUUUUUUGGGAGGUUAUUUAUCUAUUAAAACUUCAGCUUUCGGAGUCUUUAAGAUUAUUUAUUGUUUGUAGGAUUUCAUUAACUUAUCCAAGAAAAUAUGUUUUGCGCGAGCAGGAAUUGUUAGCCCUGGAGGAGAAAAUGGGCACUGUCAGUACAGCCCUCACAGAAGAAGCAUUGUCAAAAUGUCUUGAAAGAAGCAUAUAUGUGUUUGCUUGCUGUGAGGAAGAUAUCAAAUGCAGCAUAUGCCAGGUUAUGCACACUUCUCAGAACUUGUUAUAAAAUCCGUACCAAUUUUUGCAUUUCCAAUAUGUACCUUCAUCUGACAUGGAAUACACCUCAUGGAAAAUUACCCUGCAAACUGUUCUUUUCCAUUUCAUUGUAUCCCACGAGCAAGGCAUUUACUCUUCGCAGCCAAUUUAUCAUGCCUCAUCUAGUCAUCUUUAUCAUAAACACAGGAAUUGGCUUUUCCAAUACGCAUCGUUGGCUAUAUAUAAGUCUAAUAUUUGCAUUACUGUGUACUAGUUUGACUUAUCAGAUGUGGUGCUUCUUUGUUUGCAUACCACAAAGCCUUUAGCUGGUGCAGCGGCUAUAGCUGUUGGACCAAAAACCUGUGCUUGUUGAGUUUGUUUAUUCAAGGGGGAAAAUUUAUUAGUUUCCUUUCCAAAUUGAUCGAUAAUACAAAAUAGAAAACCCUGUAAGAAGAAGUCGCUUCAUGGAUUUUUAUUGCGAAAAAAAUAAAAGAGAAGAGGACGGUUGGUAAUCUGGUUUUGAUCUCAUCGCAAAUAGCGUAUGGUGCAUGACAUGGUGGUGAUGGAGUCCUCACCAUCAGAUCUCUGUUUGAUGCUCAUGUGCCUAUGUGCAGUUCCAAGGCCACUUGCUGCAGCAGGUGCUCAUGGUGGCCAAUAUUGCUGCAACAUGGGGGCUGAUUGCUCCUAAGAUAGUUUGACAUGGUUCUGUUUGUGAGGCGACGUGCCUAAUGUUUUCUUCUUUGUCUUCUGUUUUCUUUCAAUCUCUCUCUUUCAGGAAGAAUAUGUCGACCGAGAUGAGGUGGGCAAGUUGGCAUGCAAGCAUCGUUACCAUGUAACCUGCAUUCAUCAGUGGCUUCGGCAGAAGAACUGGUGCCCUAUCUGCAAAGCCUCUGCACGUCCAGUCUCCUGAAGCCCUCGUAGCUUAACCACUGCAACAAGGAUAGCUGAACUUACCUGUUUACAGCUCUCUCCUAUCUUUGUGAAUAACAUCAUCCUUCACAUUCUUUUGGAAUAAUGUGUAUAGAUCAUGGGGGCUUUUCCAAAUUAUUUUUUGCCGCCCCAAUUGUCAGCAAAACUGUGUUUUCUUCUUUUCUUUUUCUUUUUUUUGCUAGAGAAACUGUAUUUUCUUUAAGAAAGGAAAAAUGCUGUCAAUGGGAAACCUUCUUAUAUGGGGGCUUCCUGCUCCUAUUUGAUUUGUUUUGUUUUCCAUCAUUAAACUUAUAAAAUGGUGGUUUCAGGGUCAUUGCCUGAUUUUGUGAUGGUUGGCUAAGGGACAGGUCUUUUGUGGGUAGUGAUGUAUCCUGAAUAACCAUGUCAAUCACUGGAAUUAAAACUUCAAGCAAAAUUAAAACAAGCACAUGAACGACUUUCUUUCGUGUUUCUGUUAUGCAUGGAUAACAUUCCAUUGCAAUGAAUCAGUUGGUUGUUUUUCCAUUCUCUAAACCAAGGGCCUGCAUUCUUACUUAUUUAUUUUGACUCAAGGUUGUGUUUUAACUGCUAAGAAAUUGUGAUUUCUUUUUCUUUUCGGUGGAAGAAGACACAACACGAUCGACUUAUUGAGUACCCAUAGCAUCAGAGCACAGAUAAGAGUGCCAGAUAUCUUGCAAGAUUGGAUGAUAACACUUAUCCAAGUAACUGAGUCACCAUCAAAAGUAGCUGCCUUUCAACCAGAGAGAGACUCCAUGGCCCUCCUUCCAUUAAAAUGGAGGUCUUCAGUCAUGAACAUAGUGGACUUGAGGCUUCUUCAGGCUUCUUGCUUGACUUAUCUCACUCGUCUCUAUUCUCUUUAUUCCUUCCACUCCAUCCAUCGCCCACCGCUCGUCGGAUCUCACAACCUUUUACCAAGCUAGAACCAGGGAAAACUUGCAUGCCCUCACCCCUAAUUUGACGGGCUGAAUGCCUCUAAUCCUUGUAAUAGGACUACGGGCCAAAUGCCUGAUUUUUUUAAUAUCCUGUCACAUUAGCAGGAUCCCAGCCCUUAUGACAAAUGGCUAUCAACUAAGUGAGCCUGCAAUUUUUCGAAGUUCUCCACGGAUUCUGUGAGUCGUUGGGACUAUACAAGUAGAUAUUUUGUUUUUUAACUUUGGUGGAGCAGUGGAAUGGACACCCUUCUACUAAGGGAAGCUUGUGAAAGUGUAUAUAAACGAUGUAGUUCAUGGUCUGUGGCCUUCCAGUAACUACUAGUGGCUUGGGAGAUUUUAUGUCAGCCGACCAACAGUGGGGGGCUUGGAGUUCAUUCUCUGAUUGAGUGCCGGGAGGUCUUGGUGACCAAGCUGGCAGCCAGGUAUAUUCUAGAGCCGAAGAGUCUCUAAGGUGCUGUGAUGAGGGCGAAGUAUGGAGAUCCGGUUGACCGAUCAGUCAUUUGUAGCAGGCGAGGAUGCUCCUUCAUAUGGCAAGAGAUUUGCUAAAGCCCUGGUCGUAUCUCCGAUGAUCAGAUGAGAGAUCGGAGACAGACGGUCUAUUGACAUCCUAUAGGAUAGGUAAUUAUCCGAGAUUCCUCUGCGAGAUUGGCCCACCCUAAUUGAUCAGAGCUAGCUGGAGGAUGUAGGGUAUGUGAUCUUUUUGCCUAGGGGAACGGAGAUGGGAUGAGGCUCUUGUUAGGCUAGUUUUUGGGAUGUAGCUCGCGGAGCGGGGUCUUAUCUUUUUCGAUCCCUACAGGCGAGGCAGUGGACAGACAAGUCUGAAGUAUGACUGGAAGGUCGGCGGUGCGGGCCCGAGACUUGCCUGGGUUGGUCGGAAAGCCCUCAGCUUGGCAGAUUGAUGAAAGGUGGAUCUGAAGGAUGUACAUCCAUCCCUGUGUAGCACUAUUCAUUUGGAAGGUGGUUUAGGGGUGUUUACCUACUAGAGAGGUGCUAGCAAGCGAUGAGUGAGGAUUCCGUCAGCUUGCCCGAUAUGCUUGGAGGUAGAGGAAUCCAUAUACCAUGUGCUGAUAGAGUGCCCACGGGCCAGACAGAUUUGAGAGUGUGUUGUAGCUUAUCCCGACUAGCGGCAGAGGUGGAUGUUGAUCGAGAAGCUGCUGCACUUUCUGGCAGCCUCCCUAUAGGGACCUAGCUUCAUGGAGAGGGAGACGCGAGCCGCCUGCCCAGCGUACCACUGCUGGUUAGAUAGGAACGCCCGGGUCUUUGAGAGUAGUAACAAUCCUCCGAGGAUAGUGGCAAAUAGAGCUCUACAGCAAGUGGCGGAGAUUCUUGGCACUAUUGUGGUCUCAUAUUCUGAGAAUGCUGGAGAAAUGUGGGGCCCACAUUCUGCUCUUGCAUCGUUCAGGACUAGACUUGUCUCUUGGGUGCCUCCAUCCUCUGGUUAUCUUAAGAUAAACUUUGAUGGCAGUAUCGGUGACAGCCGGAGCUGUGGCGGUAUGAGCUUCGUUAUCAAAGACCAUAGUGCCAAACUGGUGGCGACCACGGGUCGACGUAUUUUUGACACGUUUGCUGUCUAUGCCGAGCUCAGAGCUGCUUAAGAGGGCAUUACCUUCACGAGGCGCAUUUUGGAUACAGAUCAUCUCCUCCUCGAGGGCAACUCGACCACAGUGGUCGAGUGGAUCCAGGGUUCAGGAGGCGUAGUAGAGGGUCGGCUGUUGCUUGACGACAUUUGCAGGCUCCUGGGGAAAUGUGACUUCUAUACGGCCACGCAUAUUUACAGGGAGGCAAAUUGUGCGGCUGACUGGGUUACAUCAUUUAUUGCCUACCAUUUUAGGGGCCUUAUAUGGGAAAACCAAAAGUCCCUGCCGAAGCCUUUUAGUGAGCUACUAUUUUCUGACUUUGUUGGCCGUAUUUACACCUGUUGCUUCUGAGCUGCCGUUGUACAGGAAAAAAAAAGAAACCUACUAGUUGACAAGGAUUUCUAAUUUGAUGCCCGCAAAUUGGAAAGGCUUUUUAGGUGCUCGUAGUUGCAUAAAGGGAAGCCGGCGCUUAGGCCACAGGUGAAAUUGUGUGAACAGUGAAAAUAUGAUCAUGGCAUCAAAUUAGCUAAGAAAUAUCUGUGUAAGCUCCCAACGAUCUGCUGCCAGAGUUCACGACUUUGUCAGCAAUUUCUUAUUGUCAUUUGAUGCCAUGCUUUGGAUGGACAUGUUGUUACAGCUGUUCCAAAUCGCUCGCAAGAAAAUCCCAAGCUCUACUUGCAGUGUUGCUCAUAGGUUUAGUUUCAAGAUUUUAUCAAACUGAUUGAAUGUUGCAUAUGAAAAAUCAAAGCCUAACGUCAACGUUUUUAAAAAUAUGUGAAGGAAAUUAGUGCUUGAGUGGAAAAUGGAUAUAGCAUUGUAUUGUAGCCCCGUAUCAACUAAUAAAAUAGGUGCCAUAUGGGUUUAUUAGCAUGAACCAAUCUGUUCUUCGAUAGUUUAAGCUUUUGGACUAUGAGCCUAUGACAAGCAGUAUCAGAGCGAGGUCUAGUGUGUCAUAACCCUUAUUAGUCAUGCCAACAUAAUGGAAGCAUGACAAGGUUGAAUGGAGGGAAUGUCAUAAUCCCACAUCGACGGUUAAAAAAGUUCCGCAAACCAUAGAAGAAGCUUGAGGUGGGUAUUUUCCUCUUCCAUUUUUUUUUAUGUUACAUGCCAUAAAUAAUAAAAAAUAAAAAAUAUAAGAAAAUCAUGCCAAAAUUUUAGUUAGAGCUUAUAUCUAGUCAAUUUUUUAUAUAUAUAUAUUGGCAUGAUUUGUGACAUCUUAAAUCCCAGUUAGAUCUAUGCAAUGAUAUAACUUUUCAAUUUUUGGAUAUUUAUUUUAUUUUUUAUUAAAAGAUAAUUUCAAAUAAAAAAUUGAUAAAAAAAUCAUGUAUAGAGGUCCAGCUUUAAAUACUUCUUGGAUAGAGGUCCAGCUUUAAAGUAAUUUUUAAAUUAAUUCAGCUAUUAGUUCUUAAUAUCUUCCCAAAAAAAACCGGUACCUCCUAUCAGCCAUAACUAAAAUUUAAUUUUCAAAAUUUUAUUUAAGUUAAAUAAUAUUUUUAGUAAAAUUAUAAAACAUAUAUCAAUUAAAAUUAUUUUUAAUAUUAUUAAUAAAUUUAUUUUUUCUACUAUUACCAAUCUGGCUGAUGAGGCUGUGCAUCAUGCAGGAAUCUUGGACUUUCCAGGAUCCCUCGGUACUUAGGAUCAUUAUCUGAAAUCGGAUUAUAUCCUUCCUUGUGGAUAUGUACCGUCUGGUAUCAUUGCCCCCGGCAUCAGUCAUAAUUCAGGGACAAAUAGAAGCUCGCAAUCCUCGGAAAACGAACCCAAUCAGAAACAUCAAAGAGAAAGAAAGCCUCCAAAGAAGAAAAGGUUCAGCUGUUCUUUUCCCAGCAGAGCAAAACAUACAAAACAGCAAACAAUUGCCAUUGGAAAAAUGUGGCCCUAAAGAUCGUCCUAGCCAAAAAAAUAAAAAUAAAAAAAAUUCUAUAUAGGAAAAUAGAAGACAAAAAAUACAGAAAAAUAAAGAUGAUAGAAGAAUAAUCCAGGUGAACAGACUCGACAAAGCUGAAUAGGAAAAUUUUCUUUGCAUUUCUUUUCCUAUCGUAAUAUGGCUAGGAGUCCUCUCAAUUGAACACAAGUUCUUUUUGUCUUUCAGUAGAAUUGAAUACAAGUUCUCUUAGGCAUUGAACAAGGUUCCAGUCCCUUACAUUUUAGCUAGAAAGAAAAGAUACAUAUACAGUUUCAAUGGAACACUAUCUUAUUAAUUACAAUUUUUUCCCAUAAUCAUAAGCAGGUCCUGCCGUGUCUGGUCCAAAAGAAGAUAAGUGAGAGACUACAUCAUGGAUGAUCAUAACCAAUUAUUACAUAUUUCCACAUAUAUUAUGCUAAAGAUUGACAGUCUUUGAUAUGUAUCAGCAAGCCGCCAGAAGCAUUCAUUCCUCCUUAAGUUCCAAUUCCCAGAAACAAAGCAUGUGUCACACAAGAUAGGAAGCUUAGGGUGCUUUUACAUUGCAACUAAAAGUAAAAGUUAGCAGCAAACCACAGGAGAUGAAAAACUUAGUAGCAAAAAUUCUAUUGUAUAAAACAAAUGAAAGAGUUUUAGUAUAAGAACAGAGCUGCAAUAAAAAAAAGCACCCCAACUGGUAGAAAUCACCAGAUAGGAAUAUUUAUUCAAUGGGUGGUAAAUAUUGAAUAACAUGAUUGUUCAUCCAAGACCCAUUUUCAGCAAGCUCAUUAACCUACUGUGCCAAUCUUUUAUGUACUUAAUAUCAAUAUCCUGGUCUUCAUUGAAAACUCGUACACUUUUCCAAUGCAUAUGUCAGAAAGCAACAAAAUUUCCUUUAUGCAGUAUCCAGCUGAUAGCAUCAGGGCUCUAAAUAACACCCAGCAACCUGAUCCUAACAGAAUAAUCAGAUGUGGCUUCCUGAUUGUGUUGAGUUUCGAUAUGGGUAUUAUCUCAACUGGUAUCCAGAGAACAGCUCUGAAACGAUAUUGAUAUAGCUUCUGCAUAUCUACCUACCACUGAAGAAGCAUUGUUCUGACUGCAUAGAUUCUAUUUCAUACUCUAGUCAUAUUCUAAUAGUAGGAUUUUAUUUUUCAUAUUAUGAUGAUUCUACUUCUUAACUUAUGGGUUUAUACUAUGGUCAAAGAAUCCUUAUUAAGGUAGAAUUAGUCUAAAAAUCCUAUUAUGGAUAUAAGUUGAGUUAGGAAAGCCUUAAAAUCAUUAGGAUUUUUCCUUGAAAAGUUUGUUCGCAUUUAACAUAUACAUUUUACUCUAUAGUGACUAAAAUUAUGUAACUUGCUUUCUCCAAAACCUUCUUUUUCUUUUGUUAGUCUUUUUACAAAUCUGCUUGCUAACAAUGUUUUUUGUCAUAGGAGCCCUUAAUUGUUUUUUUACAUAAGAGAGUUUAAUUCCUUUUUAUGUCAGCCCUCAUUCGUUUCUCCAAAAGAAAGGAAAACUUGUUAUGUAAGUUGCACUCUAAAGCUAAAAGAAGCCUAUGAUGGCCGAUGUAAGAAAUACUCCAUCAUUAUAAUGCACUCCAGAUUUUGAGCACUAACGUGAGGGUUUCACCUCUUCUUCUAUAUGGGGUGGUUACAUUCUUUGAGGGUGCAAAUCCUUCAAGCCAAAGUGCAAUGACUGGGUCCUUUUAUGUUGCCAAAUGACCAUCUUUUUCUAUCUCUGUCAGGGUUUUUCUAGCUUUUGCACUCUCUUGUUUUUUUUUCUCAGUCUAAGCCCUUAAGAACAUUAAUGAAAAUCACUUAAACAUCUUCAAAUCCCUUGAUAUCUAAUCCUCGACAUUUUUCUGACCUCCCAACAUGAUUCUUCCGUCUCUCUUUUCAAAAGUUCAUAGCUUGUUUCUCACAUAAGCUCCAUUACAACUCAUCUAAGCCUCGUUACCUAUUCCUUACUCUCACUCUGAAAAAAAAGAGGUCCAAUAUUAGGAUUCACAGAAGAUUACCCUUCUCGUUCACUUCAUCCAAAACUCAGGCAUGAUUUCAACUCCAGCAGAUUAUAUUUUACAGCUUUGUUUACAUAAACUUUAUUUACUCUAGCAGAUCUUUCUCUCUCCCCCCUACCAACCCCCUUCUCUCUCCUCCUCACCGGCCAUAUACAUGUAUAUGGUUGUGAAAGUAUGUGCACAUGUACAUAUGUACAUACAUGCAUCUAUUACAUAAUCUGUGUAUAUGUAUGUGUAUGCAUUACUUUUGUACUAAUGAAUGUUCUGAAUCUGUAACCCAUAAACUAGGUAUUAUCAUAAUAAUGCAUUAAAUUUAAGAUAGAAUGCACUAAAUAAAUGAUAAUCAAAGUUUGAAAUCCUAGUCAGUUGAAGCUACAUCAAAUCAUAAGGACAAAAGGAAGGUGUGAACCUCCUAUUUAUGAAUUUAAAUAGACUCUUGUCAUAAGUUUUGAAAGUAAUGCUUAAGUAAAGUAUUGAAGAUGUUGGGAAAAAAUGAUCAAAGGACACAAUAAUUCUAGAAGAUUUAUCGAAGGGCCACUUGGUAUUUGAUAAUGGCUUAGAGUCCAAAUCAAACAUAAAAAGAGAAAUGAGUACUAGACAUAUAUGAACUUGAAUCUAAUUACUUUAUUGAGUUCGGAUUAAAAUCUUUUACAGAUUUCACUAGAACUGGCAAUGUCAAAUAACAUCAUAAAGGCCAUCUUUCACUGAGAAAUUUUAGAGAAUACACAUGUAUGUAUCUAUAUGUAUCAGCAGUGUGCCUCUACAACUACUUAUUAUAAUUACCAUAUGAUUCAUCAUUUUUUCCAUAUAAACAACAUUUCAACCUCUGCAACACACUGCCCUAGUUUGCGUGAAGCUUUUGCACAAUAGACUUUAUUGUAACUAAUUUGGUCUUGUGAGAACUUCAAAGUAACUUAAGAAGAUUAGUACCAACAGAAGGAGAAGUUUGUAGCAAACUAAAUAAUAAAAUUAAAAGAUGAAGCGAUAUCUUCGUUUGUGUCGAGUUUUUUUUCCUUCUUUUAACUCUUGAUUUUGCAUACUUUGUUAACUCAUUCAGCCAUAGAUCAAUAGCAAUUUGACAACCAAUUAGGAGAAUAAAUUGAACUAAAUGUAAUGAAAAAAUAAAGUAAACCCAGCAAAGUAUGAUUUAAAGUUUCGCACAAAGCUCCAAAGUUGAAACCAGAAUAUUUUGAUUUCAGCUUGACUUGAUCCAAAAAUAUGGUUAGUCUCAGAAUUAACUUGUAAAACCAUACUGUUGCAUAUAUAAGCUAUUUAUGCUAAUGUUUUGUGGCCUCUUUUUUUCUCUGAAUAUUAGGCAGCACUUUCUUUAGAUUGAACUUGCAGGUUUUUAGAAGAUUUGGAAGCCUUGCAAUAUUAGGCUCUCAAGACAUUUGAAGAAUUUUCUUUUACUUCAAAAGGUUCAACUAAUCUAGAGCUCAUAUAUUAUAGACAUUGAGAUUUCGUUUCUUAUAUAGCCAUCAACUGGGAAAAUGACAUGUUGCAUCCAAACAUGUCUUGACAUUGUAUUUUCCAGGGAAAAAAUGAUUUUCAUAGUGUAACACUCUCGAUAUGAUACAUCCAAAUGUCCAAACAAAAUAAUAUCUUUUAAAUGUUAUUGUUGAUUACUUUGUUUAUUUACCUAUUUUUCCUAAUUUUAAUUGCCUACUCACAUUUUCUAAUUUUUUUCAGAUAUAAAGACCAAAACUGGAGCCAAACUGCCUAAACCACCAAAAUCACUGAAGCCGCUGAAAGCAAAACUCAUUUGGUCUGAAGGAAAACAAAGCUAAAACUAACUCUGCUAACCUUGCUGAAAACAUGAACCAUCUAAGCUUGGAAAUAUGCCCCGCACAUGGAAGCCACCUUUUAAGUUUGUUGAAAAGAUCUGUAUGGAGGUCAUUAAGUAUACAAGCAUACCUAUAUAUUCUGAUGCAUACAUGCAUGAACAUAGAAUGUAAAUAAUAUAUCAAAUACUCAUUAAUGCAUAGACAUAUACAUAUGUCAGCAUCUACCGAUCUUCCCAUGUUUUGUAUGAUUUAUUGUCUGCUUGUAAUUUUAUAUAUUAACAUACAUAGAAAGAAAGACACAUAUAUACAUAGACAUGCAGACAUACAUACACAAAUACAUCAAUGAAAAUACAUAACAUAACAUAAGAUUAUAUAUAUAUAUAUAUAUAUAUAUAUAUAUAUAUAUAUAUAUAUAUUACUAAUAAUAAAUAACUAACGUAACNNNNNNNNNNNNNNNNNNNNUAUAUACAUAUAUAUAUACAUAUAUAUAUAUGCAUAAAUAAAAUACGUAUAAACCACUAGCAUUUGGUAUGCACAAACACUAAUAUUACCUAAACUGCAUUCCUACUGGGAAGUUGGAAUUUUGGCCAAUAAUUUUUGACUUACUAAUGAAUGUAAGCUCCACUAUUGAUACUUUCCUUCUUCCAUCUUUUAGACUCUUUCCAAGUCUAGGAGAUGUGGAGAAUUUUUUCUCUUGAUUUCCUCAUCUUAAACUACACAUGAUGAAAGAUGAAUAUGCAUGCCUGUCUAAAGGCACUUUAGAUUUCAUGGCAGGCCCUACAUUUGUCAAAGGAUGUCUGGUAAAAGUUUAGCACCAUUUUUUCCUUCUGAAAGCUAGUUUCGAAAUUUUUCUCGAUCUCUAAUGGAUCAAGUCAAUCUUGAGGCAACCCAGUGCAUCUGGGAUAAGGCUUGUUAUUUGAGGUGUAAACAUUAAAAUCUCAUACAGCAGUAUCAGUCUGAGAUGUUUAGGUCUAACAUAUUUAUAGUUAAUACAAUAAGAUGCAUAACCAAUCUGCCACGAAAAAAAAUGGUUUAACAUAAAAAAAAAACAAAAGAAACCAAAGCUGUGAAUCAUAGAUUCACAAAACUGCUCCAUAUUAUUUCAUGAUUUGAUAUGAUAUGCUAAAAAUAGCAAUAUGGAAAGUUCAUGGACCAAUGUUAUUCCUGACUAAAAAACAACUAAAAUUUCCAAUAAAUAGUACAUAAAGGGAAAAAUGAAGAUAUGAUUCACUAAAUUUACUUCUGACCUUGGUUCAUAUAUAUGUAUGUGUGCAUGUAUAUGUAUAUGUGUGUAUAUGCAUCUGUAUAUGUAUGUAUGUACAUACAUAUUUCUGUGUGCAUAUGCAUUCUCAAUAAAACUAAAGCUCAUACAUUUUCUAAUAUACAUUAACAUUAAUAAAUUAUUCCAUUUUAUUUUAACUGUUCAUAUAAAAUAUGAGAUUUUUGGAGAAAGAUAGUAUACAUGAGUUUUACAACCGAAAAAGCAUACCCUACCUAGUCUGAUGAUUAGAGUAUCUUUAACAGGUUUUCUGCACCUUGCAUAUUAUUGUUCACCCAAUCAAGUCAAAGUUAUUGUUAGUCUUUAUCACGAAAACUGUUAUGGUUAGAGUAUCUUUUUAGGUUUUGAUUGUACAGAUAUGUACCAAUUCAAUAACCUAAACUAAUAAACAUACAAUCUUACUUGGAUAAUAUACACAGAUAUAUAUGACAUUGUAUAGUGAUGUUUAAAGCUAGGCAGUCCAAUUAGUACAUGGUGGUAUUUCAAAUUACCAUCUAUUUUAACGUCAAUACAGUCAUGCAUGUUCUGGAUGAUAAGCCAGAGAAGAAGAUUAACUAUUCGAAACAUGUUUCGCAAUCAUUUUUAAGUCUGCAUUUGGAGGUUGUAAUCUAAAAAAUAAUGACUUCUUUCAUGAAUUUAUAAUUUUUAAAUCUUAGAAUUUCAGGUCUUGUGGAAAGUAUUUGGUUGUUAGAGAGAGAAGUUCAAAAAACAACUAAGAGAGAAAAACACAAAUAUGAAAAGUAGAUAUUUUCAAUUUCAAGAUUUUAAGACCAUUUUGAGAUUUCAUCACACAACCAAACACCUCACCUUACAACAUCAAGAUGAGUAAUUUCAAAAGCCACGAAAUAUCAUGAUUUUCCAGUACAUCCACAUGCAGCCUAAGCCAUUUAAUAUAGUGUCCACUUCUCUCUCUUUUUUGUAUCAUUGUCCCUUUGAAGUACUACACCACUGCAUAGCAUUCCGUGUCUCUGUAACAAAACUCAGAAUUGUAGGGCGCGGUUAAUGUAGAAGUGGCACGAGCAUGUAUGAUACAUAAUACCUCUAACCAGGAUGGAUGAUACUAUGUACUUUCUACAUGCCUGCUCUUCAUAAGGCACUUUCAGUUGCCACUGUGAGCAACAUUGUAUGUUCUCUAAAUAAUCUCAAAAUUUGAAAAUUUUAUGAUAAACAUAAAAGUCUCCACAAAAACAUGAUAACACAAGCCCAAUCAGCAUGUUGUGAUUCUCACUGCAUAGUAGAAAUCAGCAAAGAGGAAGUCAAAAUAUGAAACAGUGAGUCGUUCAAUUUAAGAAACAAUAUUUGCUUAAAGAUGCUACACAUCCAAAACAACUCAACAUUGAUACUACAGAAAUAUGUCAAUUAAGAGCCUAGAAGAACGUAAGAAAUAACGGCAGUUAUAUAAAAUUGGUAGCAAAGGACAUACACAGCAUUCUUUCACAUACUUGAUUUCUUAUGUAUCACUUGAUGAGAUAAUUCAAAUUUAAUCUUCUGAAACAAUUCAUGAAAUGGUAAGAUCACUACUAAAACCGAUGAAGCAAUUUAUGCAAUUAAUAAUACAUACAACAAGACCCCGCAAGACCUACAUGACAUGAUUGAACCUAUACCAAAUUACUAAUCAAUAUUCCUGCAAAACUGAUUUCCUCCACAUUGGCUGUAAAUUAUGUCAAAGCUUGAGAUUUCUGGUUGUGGUGGAAGAUAUCCCCCUCGCGGAUGCUGACACAUACAGCAAAUGCACCAAACAGGGAAUUCUUUUAAAAAACUUUCCUUCAGAUGGACUGAUUUAAGGAAUGUGAUCUUCAAGAAGGCCCAUGCCUUUACAGAAAUUUUUCGCUCUAAACUCUGAUGAUUUUCUACCAGAGAAGAGAGCCAUUAAUCUGAGUUUAGUUCUGUCCAGACUUGCCCAAAGGCCACCCCUUGAGGCUGUUAGAGAUCCACCCAGCAACAAUUUCGUAGAUCUAGAAAGCUUGAUAUGAAUCUGCCUUAUUCUUCAAAUGAACGUUGGCAUAUUUUCUCAAGUAGCAAUGGCCAGUCUUCACCAAGCUGCAGUGGGUUUAGCUCCAUUGCUACCCUAAAAUCCUGUAGAGAUAUUGAACACAACUUUCUCAGAUCAUGUGUACCCUCUGAAGACCCACCACUACUCUGUACAUGCAUGUGCUUUCCCGGCCAAAAACCAUUUAUAGGCUUAGCUACAGGUUGCUUUAUUGAUUCGUGUCCUGACCUUUCUCCUACUAGCACAACACAUGACCUAAUCAGGUUCUUCAAGUAAGCAUCUAAGCCAUUAUUCAGUAAAUUAGCACAUUCCAUAGUCACCCCUCCCAAGCCCUGUGACCCUGCUAUUUUUUCCAUCCAUUUCUUCAAAGCCUCAGUACGGCGUAGCUCACCCUCAUCAUAGUUGCUACUAAAACUACCAGUGCUAGUACUAGUUACCAAUGGCAGACAUCUCCGUGCCCCACCAACACUAGCAGGACAGAAUGGUAUCCCGAGUGGAGCCUGAAGAUGACCUCUCUUGGAGUUCAAAUCAUUACUCUGUUCCACCUCCUCUCCAUCUUCAACCAGACCCUUGCUAUGUACAGAGGCCCGAUCAUGUGGUGACAAAUUCUCCAUCCGAGAUCUCUUUGCCGGCUGCUCUGCAGGCCCACCUUGAUGAUGCUGCACAGGUCUCUUCAAAUCGCAAGGACCCAAAAUGCAAUUCUCCCUGAAAAUAUCUUCAUCAGAGGGUACUAAAGAUAGGUGGCUUGGUCCAAGAGGAUUUGGGCGGUCCUUGAUCCUCCGGUCUCGAAUGCCAGACCUGACUUUGCGAGGUGAUGGUGGCAAGAUGUCCCCAUUGGACCAAAUAGUUGGCGAUGGAGUUGAAGCAGCAGGUGCCCGAUUAAUUCUGUCAUCUCCUUGAGGGGAUUUUUUCCCUGCACUUCCAAUGGGCUUCAGGGCGGCCUUGUCAUGAACCAGUGGAGGUGGGGUCUUGGCAUGAAAGGCAUUCUUAAGGAUUGAGCGGAUGAGCUGGUUGUGCAAUGGGAUGUUCUCGCGCCCAAGGAUCAAAAGGCAGAACUUGUUGAACUCUGGCUUGCUCAGCUUCUGGGCCAACAACUGAUUCAGGUAACCAAAAUACCGCUGGGCUCGCUCAGGGCCGAGCUUCUUGGCUAUCUGGGACUUGAGGUCGCCGAGACUGAUCCGGAUGGGGGGCGACAUCGUCGGUGGCGGCAUCUCUCAAUGCAGGGCAGCCAUAUAAUUCACCAGAUCAACAGAAUUAGGGUUCUCCUCUCGUUCUCUCUAUCCUCUCUCUUAAUUCAAAGUUAGGGUUUUUCUCCACCUUCUACAAACUACAUGAACCAAAGCCAAUUCCCUACUGCUCGGCCAAAACAAUGCGGACAAAAAUUUCACCUUUGGGGCACAAAACCCUAGGGUAAGCCGGGACAGAGAGGCCCACGCCCAAGAACAAAGAUCCCCAGCUCGAACUCCUCCAAAAACCCUGGCCGGAAACUUGAAUUCCGAUCCCGUGGAUCGCAACCCUAACGUGAACGGGACCUAGCUAGAGAAGCACCCAAUUCGGCGGCCCAGAGCUCGAAAAAGCUAUCUCUUUACAGAAGAAUUGCUCGUCGGGGAGCUUCCAAAGAUCGACUCCGCGCUCUGCGAUCGGGGAAUCCACUCGAACACGUCGGAUCGCAGCGGGCCCACGGUCGGAGUGCGGGAUUGGAGGAAUCAGAGCGGGAGAGAAGAAGAAAAAGAGGAGGGCAGGGAACGACCUAAUCUUUGGGAAGAGAGGGGAAGGAGGGAAGGCUGAAGCUGACCUUUGGGAGCUCGAAGUGGGGAGGGAGGCGGGGAUUCGAAGCGCAUCACCGAGCGCAGAGAGAGAGAGGAGGGAGAGAGAGAGAGAGAAAGAGAGCUCGAAUUCUCUGUAUCUCUGCUUCUCGUCUUUGCUUCUGCUUUGCUUCGGGCUCUCCUCGGUCUCUCUUCACCACUACGUCUCUCUUGCUCGCUCGCAAGGGGCUGCAGGAUGGGAUUGAGCUCUCCUUCUGUCGCUCUCGCUCUCUCGAUCGCUGAAAGAGCUAAAAAAGAUAUUUUCGCUCUCUCUCUCUCUCUCUCUCUCUCUCGUUUCCCCCCUUCUCCCUAUCGGCCCUUUGUUUUCAAUUUUUAAUUAUGCUUCCCUUUCCGUGUUUUUUUUUGUUUUGUAUCUUUUUAUGUUUGUUUUCCGAGUUUGCCGAGGAUUUGGGCUUACUGGCAUUGACGGUUAAGAAGUUGGAGUCAAUUUUCUUCUUCGAUGACGAUCACAAAUUAGUAUUAUUAUUGUUUAUUAUUAAUAUUGUUAUUAUUGUUGGAAGAAAAAAGUAAAUAAAAUCAAUCUUCGUGAGUUCAUUAUGCUCAAUUUGAGUGAGAGCGUACAUGAUGGCAAAUAUAUUUCUUUGUACAUGGAAUGAGAGGUAGGCUUUAACAUAGGAGUAGAUCAUAACUGCCAAAAGAUGUACCAAGGAGGAUUGGAAGCUAGGCUGCAAGGGAUUGAGAUGGAUUAGUGAUAGGCAAAAAUCCAAUUUAAUUCAUAUUUAAAAAAGUCAAAAUCCAAUUUCCUUUGAGUUGGGUCGGAUCAGAUUUACUAGUAAUUUAUUACUUCACUGGAUUUUUAAUUAAAUCAUGCCCAAAAAUCCAAUCAUAAUAGCAUAUUUAAUUUGUUAACUACAUCACAAGCAUACUGUGUAACAAAAUAAUGUUAAACAGCAUUUCAAAAACACAUUAUAUAUAAUAGAUUUCAUUGAUAACUCAUAAAAAUCAACAAAUAAAUUAUUAAUAAGCUAUACUCGGAGAAGAAAACUAUAUCAUAUAUUCGAAGAGGAUUUGAAAAAUAUGUUAUACUAAUUUGGACACGAUUGGGUUUGGUUAAGGUUCAGAUUGAAAAUUUAGUUAUCCAAAUUCAUGUCGAAGCAAGUCAUAUUUUUGAAUACAAACUUAAUCCAAAUAACUUCAACAUUGGAUUAAUUUUUGAUUGAUUCCGUCGCUCUUUUCAAGUCAUAUAGGAAGCCUUUUAAUUGCUUUGAGGACUCAAUGGAGGACCGAGCAGAGGUUAUCAAAAAUAACUAAUAGCUUUUAGUGAGUGAACUUAACAUGGAUAUAGGAGUGCAAAUGGGUCGAGUCGGACUGGAAUAUGAGCAACCCCGACCCAACCCAGUUUUUUUGUUCAGGUCCUAAUGUUGGAUCCAGACUCAAUCUAAUAGAAUAUCGGAUCGGGUCAGAUUGGGUUCAUUACUAAAAUUUCUGAUCCAAUGGGUCAAUCGGCUUAGGUCGGGUCCAUAUAUAAUUCGAUCUCAAUUCAAAAAAUUUGGAUUUCGAUCGAGUCCAAAUAAAUCUGAAAAAGUAUGAUUGUAUCUGUGAAGCAAAAAGGAGCCUUAAUGAUUACCCUUUUGGAUAUUGAAGGACAAAAACCACAAACUAGAUAAGGUUGACUACCUGCAAAAACAUGCAAUAUGGGAAACAACCCAUGUCUUCAUACUUAGGCCUUUUCUAGAUCCAUUUGUUACUUUGUUGCUACAAAUGCUCAUUAUUCUUUAAUAAGCCUUCAAAACCAAGCAAUAAAAUUGUAUGAAUUAUUCUAUAUUUUAAAUUGAAGCUGUAAACUUAAGAUGCAAAAUACUCUUCACAUACAGGACAUGCACAUCAAUCAUAAGGCAUAACUUAAAAAACAACAUGUGUUCGGACUUUUUCGGGCUCAAAUAGUUUACUGAGUUCGGUUCGAGUCGGGUUAUAGAGUUGGGAACCCAAAAUUGCUCAAAAUUCAAAUGGGCCGGAUUGAGUCUGAAUUUAGUAAACUCAAAUUCAGCUCGAAAAAUGAAAUGGAUCCAAUUUUAGAAUCUGACCCGGCCUCACAGGUCCUCUAAAAUGAGUCGAAUCGGGUCUAAGCGGGUCAGAUCCUGGGUCAACCCACCCUAUUUGCAACUUUACAUGGGUAGGAGUUGGAAUUGCAUUUAGCGUAGAUUGUAAAAUUAAGAAUGGCCUUCUAAUACAUUUUGACGACUUAUACAAGUCCACCCAAUGCAUAAUAGACUAAUGUGCUUGUCAAUGUUAAUUGCACCCCUCACAACUGUCAUAUAAAAGGAUGAUGACGCAUGAAGUAACUUGCCAACUAAUCUGGAUGAUGUGGCAUAUCAUUUGACAUUGUCAUAGCAAUUAGUAUUGUUAAUAAUAUGAAAGAAACAAAAAGCUUGAAGGCACCAAGAAAAACCAUGAUUUAAUAAAUAUUUUUCUUUAGAUUGCAUAUAUUUAAACAUGGUGACAUGAAUGACAGUUUUAUAACAGACCCUCCAAAAAGGUGGGAAUGACCCCACCAAUAAGGUUUCGCUUGUUUUUGGUUCGUAAUCAUGUAAGUGCAAAGUUAAUGUACGCAAUCUUAGGGCUUUAUGUUGGUUGAUUUUGUAAAGAAUAAUGCGGAUGGUGCUGCUGCCCGCGCUGCGAAGGGAAGGUGCAUCGAAGGGUCAUUUCAACAUUUCAAUAAACUAAGAGAGAGAGACCAUGGCCAGAUGAAGCGCUGGCAUCGAACCACUAGGCAAGAUCAAUUGAAAGACUGUCUUAGGCGGCGUCGAAAGCAGCUAAUUAGGAGCCGUGCAAACUAAACUGAGGUUUGUUCAACAAUGGGAGUUAACUCGUUGCGCCAUGGGAGUUACUCCUUGCACAACCAAAUGAUCCCUUCAGUGUGUGUGUUAAAGCAGACUUCAGUCUUAUCUAAUGCUUCCUUGGCUAGUGAUGGUCUGCUUGCAAUUGAGUUGUAAUUUCUUGGAUCAUGCCUUUAUCUGUAGAGCUGUCACAGAGCAAUUAACAAUAUUAUAAGCCAAACAGGCAGCAGCUCCAACUCGAUUAACUUGGCAGAGCAAAUCUCACAGAUCAAUGUAACAACAAACUUAGCCAAACAAUUACAAUUCGAUUCACUUGGUAGAGCCAAAGAUUCGAACAGUUUUGAUAACUCUAAAAUGAGCAUUUAUUUCCAACUGAUUCAGAGAUUUCAAGACAUGGUGAAAAGAAUUGAUUAAGUUCUUGAAUUGCGCUAUCAGCUGGCAAAUUUGGAAGGACAGCCUUUCUGGCCGUAACUUGUCUGAAUGGGACUAACAAUACAAAGUUUGGUGCUUUCCAAAUCAGUUAAGAUAGUACAAUAUCUGUGAUAAUCCACCAGACAAAAUGAAAAGGUUUAAUAGAAGGAUCCUCACUGCCGUAUAAAUUUCAGACCCUGAGUAAACAAGUUUUACAGCAGAAGGCAACGAGCCCCAUUAAAAAGAUUAAUUCAUUCAAAAAGGGCCAUUAGACCAUUACAUGCCCCUCUUUCUCAUCCUCAAGAACAAAGUUUCAUGACAUGACAUGCUACGAAAAACAAGCAACAGGUCAUGCUUGAAUUCAUGUACCCUCCGGUUUGGGCCGAAAUGCCUUUUCUUAUUGAUAUAUGUGGACCAUGAAAAACAGUUGGUUAUUAUUGCACAGAAACCGUGCCUCGGGAUUCAUCAUUGUCUAUAAGAUGGGAAAAAGAAAAGAACGGGAAUGGGCAAGAAAACAGCUAGAACUCACUUCUGGGCAUCGAUACAGAAGAUGCAACAGGAGAGUGCCUGCAAACAACAUGAUAUACAAAUAUGCAGAUAACAAAUAUAAUUAAAGGGAAAAAAUGAUUAAAAAACAAAAGAACCAUCUGCUGAAUAAGAACAAAUAAUUAAAAAAAGGAAAAAAAUAAACAAAUCAUUUUUACAAUUUCACUUAAACUAGAACCUUGGGAUGGAGCUAAGGAGUUUAACAUCGCAAUAUAAUAUCAAAUUCAUGAUUUUAAAUUUCAGCCCAACAUUCUGAGACUGAAACAAAGACUUCUCAUUUCGCUUGGAAGCAAUCCUAAAUAGAGGUAAAUUUUUAAUUUAGCUGCAAUAACCUGCAGGUUGAUAUUAAAUGUAUACACGGCCAGCAAUAAUAAGUUUUCAAUCAUUUAUUUACUUCUUUAGAUAGUAAGAAGAAUUAAAUAUAUAAUCUUGGAAAGGAAACAUUGUAUCUAUAUAUGUAUAUAUGUGUGUACAUGCAUCUUGGAAAGUUUUUAGAAAUUUUUCAGGAAUUACGAGAGACUUUCGAGGAGAGAGAGUGAGGGAGCAGGGUGCAGAAGAAUGGGCUUGUGGUGUAAUUUAGCUUUGUGAAGCUAGAUUCACAAGAUUUGAGCUUGGAUUCAUGAGAUUUGAGAUCAAAUCUCCUAUAUAGGGUAUCAAGUUUCAAAACCUAAGAGGUUUUGCUAACUCUUGUUGGGCGAAAUCAUAGACCGCCUUUAUGUACUAAUCUAAUAGAUCUAUCAUGAGCUACUUGAGUUAAACUGAAAGUUUUGCACUUUUCAGUAAAAAAUAUAAAAUUAACAAUUUUUCUUUUUUUUAAUUUAAUUAUUUAUCAAGUGAAAUAAUAUAUUACACUCUAAAUUAGUGUACAACAUAUAUGUCAACAUUUUAUUAUAUAUAUUUUUAAAUUUUUUGAUAAUUAUAGCCUCAACAAUCAAAAUUAAGAUACGUCGUCUCGGUAUCAAGCUUCGUAUUGAUGCCACACUAUCAUUGUGUCAAUAUAGUAUGGUAUAAAGCUGGUUUAAUAUAUCGAAUAUCGGUACGCCUUCCGUACUAUAUACUAGUAUCGAACCGAUACGGUGCACUCUGUACCGCCUGGUUCGGUACGAUAUGGCAUACCACGAUCAAAACUGUACAUAGAGUUUUCUUGAGAAAUGAAAAAAUAUAUAUGCACCCAGAGAUCUCAAAAAGCACAAUAUGCUCUAAUGAUUUUUAAAGCAGUUUUUUACAUUAGUAUUUUCCUAAUUUUAGUUUAAACCUCUUUUUUUCAAGCUUUUAGUUGAAAACUGCUAAAACAAAAUGGAAAUCCAAACUGCUAAAACAAAAUCUAGUCAGCUCAACUGAAUCUCCGACUAAGAUUUCUAACCUCAUUCAAAAUUACUCUCUUAAAAUAAUAAACCAAAAUACCACAACUAUAAAUUGAUGUUAAAAUUAAAACUGCCCUUUCACAUUGGUUCUAUGAUUGAUGGAGCCAUUUCAUUAUUCACUUAUAGAAGUACAUACAGCAAUGUGAUAGUUACAAAAACAUGUGAGUCCACAUGUAAGGUUUAGAAUCCAAAAGCCUAAUCGAUACAGGCAGGUUCAUGAAAAGAUCUGCUCAAACGCUGGUCUAAUGGCACAGUCAACCGCAUCCUUUACUUGUCAAAUGUUCUGUUAUCUUGACAAUUUAUGACUUGGUGCACUGGAAGUUGGACUGCCAAUGAACCAGUCUUGAAAUACAAUAAUUUUAAAGUACUCCACGACUGGGAUAUGGAACAAUUACCUAUAUAGGAUGUACACAGUGAGGCAGCCGCUCAACCUUGAAGAACCUUUUGAGGAUCCAACUGCCCGCUACAGUAACUGGAAGGAACAGCAGAGAGCUCUAGCCUUCCUUUCCAUUCCUCACCAGGCUUCAGAGUGAUGGGCUUCUCGAUGGAUGCGGCCUCCACGCAUAGCAUAUAUUUGUACUCAUCAUCCCCAAAAUCUGCCAGGGCUUUGGCUUUCCUGUCCCAAGGAUUCCAUACCACUGCAUGGAGGAAAAAGAUAUGCCACCAAGGACUUCAUCAUAAGAUUAUGAUUUCAAUUUUCUAUUUCCCUACCAUUCUUCAUGCAAGCAGUAAAUAUGAUGGGAAUCCUCUGAGGUUCAAAGAAGAUAGAAGAUAAUAGGGGAAAAAAAGGAAAAUAGAUACUAAUAUCAUAACUCACCUGCAUCUGGCAGGCCAUCUUUUCGCAAAACAAAUGUCCUUUUCUUUUCAUGAUCCAGAAUUGCGAUCUUGGUUGGCGUGCUUAAAUAUAUCUUAUGCACCUUUUUUGAACAAGAGCGAUAAUAUUAAAUGGCAAAUUAUAACAGCCUAUAUGACCAUGUUGAUUUACUUACUUCAGACUCAAAUGUAAUUGCAUCUCCUUGUUCUGUGAAGCGCUCCCUUUCCUUCAAGUUGUCAAGGUAAUCCAUUGUCUCCAAUCCUUCUACCCGCACUUCACUGAAACAUCUACUUGAAAUUUAGGUCCAAAAAAGUGGGCGAGGAAAAAAAGGAUCAUGAGACUGCAUAUUGCCAAAACUUUAAAAAAAAAAACAAACAUUAGAGGUAGUGCUAAAUAGGAACGCUUGACUAUAUGAGGAUUCAUAAAGACAACCCCAAGUAAUUUAGACAAGGCUUGGUGGUUAUAAUUUUGGUUACUAUUUGUUUCUAAACAAGCAGCACAAAUUUACCAAGCAUAUAAGUGGAUGAAAUAAUAUAAACUUAUGGUGAAAGAUCUUUUUGGAAGAACAAACAAUUUCUAAUUGAUCUAAGAAAUAUUAGCAAAAAGUUGGCAAGACAAAUUUAUCCUUUUUAUAUAUUUAAAUUGGAAUGAGGAUAAGGAGAGGCAAAAAAGGCAUGACUUGCUCAUUAAAAUGCUUAGCAAACUAGAUAUGAUAGAGAUUUAAUGGUGUUAGUCUUCAGAAACAUAUGACUAUUCUGUGUAUGCACAGAUACUGUAUUUGUAUCCAAAAUCUAAUGUAUGACCAUGUCAACACUCAUAUUUGAUUGGUGAACUUUGGUGUACUCAGCUGCGCAGGUGUGCGCACGCGCAAACAUACAUGUCCAGAAUUUAUCUAAAGUAUAAAUAUGUCAAUAUCCAAUUAUGGGUGAAACCAAUGUAGGUCAAUCAGAUAUAUUAGCUAUAUCCACAUUCAUGACUAUAUAUGGAUGGUGAACUGAAUAAGAAUGAUUCAUAUCUAUUUACAAGAAAUUAAUGGGCACUGAAUAAACCCAAGCAUAAACUCAUAUAGCCACUGUAUUUCUGUUCAUAAUUUCCUUUGCCCUGAUAAUUUCUUUAUACCAAACAACCGCCUCUAAUGCUUGCGACCUCAUUCUUUCAAACCCACAAAAAGAGAGAUAGAGAGAGAGAACUAGAGCAAGAGAUGAUGCCCAUUUACAUAUGACUUCCAAAACACAUCUAGUUCCUUAUGCAUGGGAUCUAGAAAAGCUCAAACAAAAUCUCAUAAAACCACCCUAGCAGGUUGUGUGCCCAGGAAGCAUUUAAUCAAGCAAUUAAUGUCAAUGCCCCUUUCUCAUCUUUCCUCUAUUUUACUUGAACCUGAAAGCAGCCUGAUCCACAAUCAGGAGGUUUCAACUCAAGAACACCAGCAUGGAUAGAUUACAAGGCCAAGCCAUGCCUCUUUGGGAUAGCCUACUAAUGAGAAGCAUCACUAACAGACCAUGAAUGCACACAAGGAAUAUGCACUUGCAAAUCAGCUGUGAGCUCUGCAACAUGAGCAUGAAUUCUAUGAUAGUAACGCUGCCAAAACCUGAUUCUGCAAGGACUCAAUUAGACGUAUGUUCAGUGCUCUUUAGUUAACUGAGAGACAGAAGGGUGUAAAUGACCAUCCAGACAGAAAAGGUGCCCAUGUUAUUCCAUGUGUUCGAGUUUGGACCCUGGAAAUGACCAUACAACAUUCUAGAGGUUCGAUAUAGGAUGAGUAGUCAUGAUUACCUAUAAGGUCAGGACUCUUAUUCAAAUGGAUGGCUGACAUUAGUUAUAGGAGCUAAAGUUUGAAGUUGUAGUUAAAUAUUAUUUUACUUCUUUUUAAGAUAUAUCAGUAUUGAAUCCAAGCUUACUUAUUGACUUCAAUAGAUUAGAUAAUAAAACAGUCUAGUUUGUUAUAUAACUCUCUAUUCUUACAUUAAAUAUAUCAAGUCCAAAAGCCCCAGAACACUUCAUUCCUUUUCCUCUAUUUUUUGUUCCGCUGCAACAAAUUUCCGUAUUGCUCAAAAUGGUGAAUGUUCAUACAACUACUUAACUCCUUAUGAAUACAUAUUUAUAAAAGACAAGGCACAAACAUACAAGAAAGUUAGCAAGAUUUAAGUGACAAACCUGAUGUCAGAGACAGAAAAGUAUGUGUGAUAUGCAAAUGUAAAUGAGAAUGGUUUUCCAUCGGUAUUGGUGUUUCUUAUGCGCGAUGUCAGCAUCAAAUCUCCUCCAGGUGCCAGAGCAACUCUUAGACGAAAUUCAUAACUGCCAUGAUAGAAAAUCAACAGUAGUGGUGCAGCGAAGCAUAGAAUGAUGCAAAAUAAUGUGCAGUAAAGAACUUAAUAGAAAGAAAAUUAGACAGACAUGAUACUGAUAGCUUGUGUAUAAUUUAUUAACAAAAAAACAAAUCUGAAGUCCAUCAGCAAUAUAGCAACCUGUGAGGCCAGAUCUUGAAGUCUUCUUCAGAUGGUUUGAGGAUUAAAUCAAUGAAAGUAUUACUGGCACUGUUUGCUGGAAAAGCUGGCGGGUUAGUGUCGAUCCUCCAAACCCUGUUCCUGGCAAAGCCAUGCUGUUCAAGAAUUCCAUGGUUCCCAAACUGCAUGUGCAGAUGUUUUUUUGGCUGGUGAUGACGAUUAAAGUACAAAUGAAGUGUAAUUGGAUCAUAAAUACAUAAUAAGAAAUAGUCAUACUUGAGGAAAGCAUAUUGGGAUGCCCCCACGUAUUGCCUUUGGAGGCUUGAAAAAAGCCUAUAAAUAAUAAAAAGGGGGAAGUUAGACAUGUAUAUCAGAUGAUCGAGAGCAAGAUAAAUGUCUGAAUUAGCAAACCAUUAAAUAUAAGACGGGCAGCUCCCCUGAUGUAUAUCUACCUAAGCACAUGCUGUGUGAAGAAACCCUUAUGUUGAACUUAAUUCAAUCUAAAGAAGGGACAACAUCAAACCGACAUUAAGAGACAGAUGUUACAUCUAUCUCUGACUCCAAUGACCAUAACUAAUUAGCCUCAUAAUGAGGUACUGUAAAUAAAAUGAAAUCAUGCACUUUGUUCACAUGAUGACCGCAAAAUAGCUAAUGAAACAUAAAAAAGCCUUGGGAAGGGUACAAAACAUACAAAACAUUUGAACAGCAGUUUAAGCAAUGAGGAAUUUUCCUUCUUGUUUCAUGGCCAAACCCUUCAAACAAGAGGAUGAUGGUGUCAUGCAAUUGUAGGCCACAAAGAGAAAGAGUCUAAAUAGGAGUAUCAUAUUGACAUAAAAAGAAGGCAUAAGAGUAACUUUUCAAGAUAAAGAUGCAACACACUGAUAUAUGCAAUUAGAAAAAAAAGAGAGAAAUAAGACAAGGAAAAAGCUAUAAUGAAAACAAAGAUAUUCAAAAUAUGCAUAGGGUAGGGUUCAAAAGAGAAAAAAAUGAACAGUUGGUUACGUAAAAGGAAAAAGACUUCAAAGCGUAUGGUUAAAGCCUUGAAGGAGAUAUAGAAAUAGAAGAAAGUGAUACAGAUACCCCUCAUGCUCAUGAAACAUAGCCCUCCAAAAGGUCCAUUACAUUCACCAUGAAAUAGACAAAUAUCUAUUAGUUAUUAUUUUUUAACCUCCAACUCAAACUUGAGAUAACAUCUCCAUAGUAGAAGUUAAAUAUAACAUCAAAAAUAAUACAAUACAAUCCCUAGAGAAACUGAUCCUUAGUUGCACAAAGCAUGAAUGAGCAUAGAAACAGCUCUUGGAUGGCACCAAAGCAGCAAGUGGUGAAGCUAGGAAGUGAUGGCAAGCAGGAGUGCUUAAUUAAUAAAUGUUCGAGUAGAAUGUAUUUAAAACAGGCAUAGUCAUCCCAGGCAUCCAAUUAGGCAGCAUGAUAGCAAUGAACAUCUGCUAGAUGGGGGGAUAAUUCCCAAAACCUCAAGUACAAACCAAGGGUUCUAGUAGGGAUGCAUUCAGACAGCCUGCCUAAGGUCUACAGAAUGGCCUGGUAUCCAGUGGGUUUUCAUCAGCACCCAUCCAUUAUCUUUUCAUAUUUCCUGCUCAUGUACUCCCUCUAAAUAAAACAUAAGUAUUUCACUAGUAUUAUAUUAUUUUUCUGGUAACAACUAGCAUUAUAUUAUUAUAGCAAAUUAGCAAUAGUAUUCAAAUAUGGAGGUUCCUGAUGAUACAAUAAAUAACAAGGAUCAUUUGAAUAUAUGUCAUCUUGUAGAACUUUCAUGCACCUAUUUUGUAAUCCUCGGCAAAAAAAAAGAACCAAUGUUGGUACCUUGCUGCUGACAAAAAGCAUCUCCUCACCAUGGAUAUUUUUCCAAGAUGUUACUUGACCUCCAUACAAAUACACCUGCCAAAAGACGAAUGGAUAUAAACACAAUAUCAGAGUGGCUACUGCAGCCGCAACAACAACAUGAGCAUCUUUUUAGUUUCCAUUUUAUCAGGAAGUUGAUAUUAAUCUAAAUCAUGCAAGUAACUUUAGAUAUAAACAAGUAAUCCUUAGUUAAGAAAUUUCAGCAUAGAGCAAAAAAGACAUGGCAUGGAGCAGAUAUCCUAAAUCAUGCAAGCAACUUUAGUCAUAAAUAAGAAACCUGUAGUUGAAAAAUUUGAGCGAAAAAAGAAUGACAGAGAGGGGUUAUCCAAGUUGUCAAAAAUACUCAACAAGGCAAAUGGAAGCAGGGUAGAGACCAGCAAGCACAGUAUGCCUCCAUUUAAAAGAAUAUCACCAUAGGCAGCACAACAACAGAGUAACUGCUAGGUAUAAAGCACCAAAUUAUGGGAUAUAAAUAUUCACAUUUCAAGGGCUUUUUCAUGUAAAUGUAAGCUCUAAACCAUUAAAACAUGUUCCAACUAAUUCAUUCAAGAAACAUGCACAUUACCAAAAACAUGGGUAUGUUAACGUGGUACAUAAUAAAAUAAGAUUAAGAUUAACUAUGCAUAUGAAACAAAUUCAUAACGACUCGUAUAUUCAAUCUUUACAAAUUCUUUCAUCUCUAUAUGCAAGAAAUUCACAUAUUCAAUACACAUGAUUGAUUGAAGAGAGAUUAUUUGAUGGAUAAACGUGAUCCCAUCGAUCAAUGAAAUAUUUGAGGUCUGCUUCUUGCCAUUUUUAUUAACAUGAACUCACAAAAUAAACCCCCAAUAGAGAUAGUAUGAUCAGUGUUAAGAAAUACAGACAUGCAGACAUUACACAUCAAAAUAUUUGUGGACACAAAAUACCAAGGAAAUCAAAAGCACUAAGUGUAGUUUUGUUGGGCCAAGUGAUCUCUAAGAUGUGGUUGGCCUGUGCCAGAAGGAUCAGCACUAAGACAUGACCUCUUUACACAAACCAUAAAUGAAAUCACCACUAAAAUUCAAAUAAGAUGUGCUGUUAUGCAUUCUGCAAAUUGAUAAAGUCCUGACAAUAGAACAAGGUUAAAUGCUCAAUUGUAAUUAAGAAGGAACGGAUCCGAAAAUAAAGGCUUAUGAAUCAGUUGUAAGUGUUGAGCAAAAACAAAAUAUCGAAAGCUACUUGGAAACGAAAAUGGAAAUGAGGAUACUAUGAGUCAGUUAUCAGUUUUGAGAUAAAAAAAAUGGAGAUAUAUACAUAUAUAUAAGCAUUUCUAGUAAAAUUAGAGGCAGGCAGAUAAAGAGGAGAGACACUUCAAGGAAUGUCAUGUGAUCGAAGCCUUCCUUGGCAACUUAAAGGAAGACUUAGUAAAGAAGGAUCUGACAACGAUAAUAAAGCCCAACUUUUAUGGGAUAAAAAAAGAUGUUGGUAAUAUUGAGGGUCUAAGAGAACAUAAUGAGUAUGCAUGGUAAAACUAGGAAGAGGACGAAUAUAUUAGAGGAGAGAAGGAGGUUGCAGCAAUUAAGAAAUAGUUUGGGCACGUGCAACCAAGCUUUUUUGAGGAGGCUCGAGUAUAGGGGAAUGCUUGAAUUAUUUCAAAGGGUCUUAGAACAAGCCAGACGGGAUGGAGGUUGCAAGAAAGGAUUACCAAAUCCAGUAGUAACACCGGAGCCAACUCAAAUUGUUAUGGUGAUGGGUUCUCGAAUCAUAAAGUAAUAUUUGAAGCACAAAAAAUCAUAAAGGGUAUCCUCAGGAAAGAAGGGAAUGUUAGACGCAUCAUGAUUGUAGUUAGCUUCACCUUAGUUUAUUGCAUCAUAGGUAGCAGGGAUGGUAGCAAGGUGAAACAUCCAAUAUUAUCGUGGCAAGUAUAAAACACAAUUGUUUAUGCAUCUAUAGCAGCAAAAGUAAAUAAAUAGCAGAGGGCCUUUAUUUCGCAACAUAUCCAGUUUGUCCAAUCUAUAGUAGAACAAAUCUAGGGAAGAUUGUUAUAAUUUCUUGUAUCGUAAUAACCUAUAAUUAAAUAGCACUUGCAUAGUAAGAUAUUAACAUUCUUUGAGGAUUUAAAUUAUGAAAAUUAGUGAUAUUAAAAAUAAAGAUCAUACAGAUUUUAGACAUUUAAACACAUGAAGUACUUUUAUGUGGAUUAAAUAUCACAUGGAAGAGAUAUGAUUUCUUGUAUGGAACAUAUUACUAGGCCAGAGUUCGGUGAAAUUUGACCAAGUCUAUUGAACAAUGAAAUUUACAUGAUUAACAUUAUCCACGUGGAGUAUGAUUUCUCAGAUUCAAUCCAAUAUUAGACAAUAGGUUGCUCUGACCUUUUAAAAAUUUUUCAGCCAUAUACUGCGUCAUAAUAAUAAUAGAUAGUGCUAAAUUUGAAGGAGUAUUUUCUCUAGAGACUGGUCAUCUGUUGUACGCUUGCUUGGACGCAACCUACUAGCAAAUGAUAGCAUGCUCUUUGACAUUUUAACUAGGAACUCUCAAAUCAUGGAAAAUAAUAACAAAUAACAUUGUCAAUAAAGUUGCACAGAAUUUGCAUUCCAAAACCACGAGUCUACAAAAGAAAAGGACAGAAAAGGAACGCCCUUAAAAAAAUGAAUCUGUCCCAAUUGUCCGAUGAUGUGACUAGUUGAAGCGCCAAAUGGUUGGAACAACUUAGAACCAUUAAGAACAUACUUAACCUAUUCACCCAUCCCUAACCUUCCCUCAUCUGCCUUCUCUCAGAAUUUUCUGAUAAAAGUCUUAAGAUGGUCACCUCAAGCCAAUUAAAAGCAAUAAUGUUUCUAUAGCAAAUGCAUCUAGUCCUAGCUAUGGCAUCUUGCAACCUUUGGAGUUCUGAAGAUUUCUCCUGUACCAACAUUUGUUAAAUCUGUAAUCCCUGAUUAAGAGUACUUCAUCAGAAAGCAACUCUAUUUUGAAACUAAGAAUAAUAAUCAGAAUUUAACAACAAUAACAAGUUAGCUCAGAAAUACUAUAUGCUUUUGUAAAUACUGAAAUGUUAUCAGGAUAAAAGGCGCUCAGUAUAAAACCUAUGAUAAAAAUCAUACUUUUGAGGUCCGACAUGACUUCCCUAUGUCAUACCUAUCAAUUACGCAAAGAUUUGUAGGAUAUAUAUGUAUAGCACAAAAAAACAAAUAGGCAUAAAAGUUUCAAA
RNAcentral lists this long non-coding RNA (32991 nucleotides) under Phoenix dactylifera (date palm). RNAcentral's name for it is "long non-coding RNA (PDAC_LNC001698)". Lineage: Eukaryota; Viridiplantae; Streptophyta; Magnoliopsida; Arecales; Arecaceae. The record is from RNAcentral.